Molecule: unclassified non-coding RNA, 253 nt
Filed under: uncultured Micrococcaceae bacterium
Lineage: Bacteria; Bacillati; Actinomycetota; Actinomycetes; Micrococcales; Micrococcaceae
Description: contains 16S-23S intergenic spacer region
Rfam family: Bacterial small subunit ribosomal RNA
Source: RNAcentral
UACGUAGGGGGCAAGCGUUGUCCGGAAUUAUUGGGCGUAAAGAGCUCGUAGGCGGUUUGCCACGUCUGCUGUGAAAGCCCGGGGCUUAACUCCGGGUGUGCAGUGGGUACGGGCAGACUGGAGUGCAGCAGGGGAGACUGGAAUUCCUGGUGUAGCGGUGAAAUGCGUAGAUAUCAGGAGGAACACCGAUGGCGAAGGCAGGUCUCUGGGCUGUUACUGACGCUGAGGAGCGAAAGCGUGGGGAGCAAACAGG